CCAGGGGCGGGCAGCUUACCAUGCAGUCGAACGGCAGCGCGGGGCAACCUGGCGGCGAGUGGCGAACGGGUGAGUAAUAUAUCGGAACGUGCCCUGGAGUGGGGGAUAACGCAGCGAAAGUUGCGCUAAUACCGCAUACGAUCUAAGGAUGAAAGCAGGGGACCGCAAGGCCUUGUGCUCCUGGAGCGGCCGAUAUCUGAUUAGCUAGUUGGUGGGGUAAAGGCCUACCAAGGCAUCGAUCAGUAGCUGGUCUGAGAGGACGACCAGCCACACUGGAACUGAGACACGGUCCAGACUCCUACGGGAGGCAGCAGUGGGGAAUUUUGGACAAUGGGCGCAAGCCUGAUCCAGCAAUGCCGCGUGAGUGAAGAAGGCCUUCGGGUUGUAAAGCUCUUUUGUCAGGGAAGAAACGGUGAGUUCUAAUACAGUUCACUAAUGACGGUACCUGAAGAAUAAGCACCGGCUAACUACGUGCCAGCAGCCGCGGUAAUACGUAGGGUGCAAGCGUUAAUCGGAAUUACUGGGCGUAAAGCGUGCGCAGGCGGUUUUGUAAGUUUGUCGUGAAAUCCCCGGGCUCAACCUGGGAAUGGCGAUGAAGACUGCAAAGCUAGAAUCUGGCAGAGGGGGGUAGAAUUCCACGUGUAGCAGUGAAAUGCGUAGAGAUGUGGAGGAACACCGAUGGCGAAGGCAGCCCCCUGGGUCAAGAUUGACGCUCAUGCACGAAAGCGUGGGGAGCAAACAGGAUUAGAUACCCUGGUAGUCCACGCCCUAAACGAUGUCUACUAGUUGUCGGGUUUUAAUUAACUUGGUAACGCAGCUAACGCGUGAAGUACGCCGCCUGGGGAGUACGGUCGCAAGAUUAAAACUCAAAGGAAUUGACGGGGACCCGCACAGCGGUGGAUGGAUGGUGGAUUAAUUCGAUGCAACGCGAAAACCUUACCUACCCUUGACAUGGUCGGAAGUCCGGAGAGGAAUCUGGAUGUGCCCG
RNAcentral lists this ribosomal RNA (988 nucleotides) under uncultured bacterium. RNAcentral's name for it is "bacterial SSU rRNA". It matches the Rfam family "Bacterial small subunit ribosomal RNA", at positions 36 to 1020 of the family's 1533-position model. The record is from RNAcentral.